Molecule: long non-coding RNA, 291 nt
Organism: Tyto alba (common barn owl)
Lineage: Eukaryota; Metazoa; Chordata; Aves; Strigiformes; Tytonidae
Exons: 3
Source: RefSeq, a predicted model, not a curated record
CCACCCACCCACCUACGACCGCUGCAGCCCCCGAGCGUUUCACCAUCAACUUCACCAUCACCAACCUCCCCUACAGUUCCGACCUGGCGACUCCCGACUCGGCCAAGUUCAACACGACGCGAAGAGUCAUGGCCACCUUGCUUCACCGCCUUCUGAAGGACAGCAGCAUUGGCCCCGCUUUCCUGGGAUGUGAAACAACAGCCUUCAGGCCCGUCAGGCAAGGGGACGGCACGGGGGUGGACGCCGUCUGCACCUACGCGAAGGAGCCCUCCGCCCCACCCUUGGACAGGG